Etheostoma spectabile (orangethroat darter) is the source of this 196-nucleotide long non-coding RNA. RefSeq lists it as uncharacterized. The transcript has 3 exons. The record is from RefSeq and is a predicted model, not a curated record. NCBI's taxonomy places the organism in Eukaryota, Metazoa, Chordata, Actinopteri, Perciformes, Percidae.
UUUUUCCAACUUCAGAAUUAAGUUCCCAAAGGAAAACUUUGUCACCAUCUGUUUUAUCUAACAAGAUUCAUUGUGUUUGUUCUUCUCACCAUUUAGUAGACCUCACGACUUUAUGAAGAAACAAUUCGCACAUCCAACAAUUCUUCUAUGCAGGUGUUUUGGAAAAUAUCACGUUAGAUUUCAUUAGACUUCUAAG